RNAcentral lists this ribosomal RNA (1797 nucleotides) under metagenome. RNAcentral's name for it is "bacterial LSU rRNA". It matches the Rfam family "Bacterial large subunit ribosomal RNA", at positions 1093 to 2925 of the family's 2925-position model. The record is from RNAcentral.
UCAGGAUGUUGGCUCAGAAGCAGCCAUCCAUUCAAAGAGUGCGUAAUAGCUCACUGGUCGAGAGGUCCUGCGCCGAAAAUGUCCGGGGCUGAAACGCGCCACCGAAACUAAGGAACCGAAAGGUUGGUAGAGGAGCAUUGCAUGCGGAACGAAGCAGUACCGUAAGGAGCUGUGGACUGCAUGGAAGAGAGAAUGCCGGAAUGAGUAGCGAGAAUAAGGUGGGAAUCCUUAUGGCCGAAUAUCCAAGGUUUCCAGAGUAAAGCUGAUCUGCUCUGGGUAAGUCGGGGCCUAAGGCGAGGACGAGAGUCGUAGCCGAUGGACAACAGGUGGAGAUUCCUGUACUGCGGUAUGACAGAACUGUGGGGACACGUAAGGAAAGCGGAAGCCGGGAAUGGAAAGCCCGGUGCAAGCGGGGUACCAGCCACUCUGGCAAAUCCGGGUGGCAAUGGGAAGCCGUGAUGCGGAGCGAAAUAAAGUAGUGAAGUCCGUGAGCCAUGCGUCAAGAAAAGCCGCUAUUGUUUAUACCGUACCCGUACCGUAAACCGACACAGGUGGAUGAGGAGAGAAUCCUAAGGCCGGCGGAAGAAGCAUUGUCAAGGAACUCGGCAAAAUGGCCCCGUAACUUAGGGAUAAGGGGUGCCUGGGAAACCAGGCCGCAGAGAAUAGGCUCAAGCAACUGUUUAGCAAAAACACAGGUCUAUGCGAAACCGAAAGGUGAGGUAUAUGGGCUGACGCCUGCCCGGUGCUGGAAGGUUAAGAGGAGAGGUUAGCGCAAGCGAAGCUUUGAAUUUAAGCCCCAGUAAACGGCGGCCGUAACUAUAACGGUCCUAAGGUAGCGAAAUUCCUUGUCGGGUAAGUUCCGACCCGCACGAAAGGCGUAAUGAUUUGAGCGCUGUCUCGACAAUGCAUCCGGUGAAAUUGAAGUACCAGUGAAGAUGCUGGUUACCUGCGCCAGGACGGAAAGACCCCAUGGAGCUUUACUCCAGUCUGGUACUGGGACUCGGUAUUGCAUGUACAGGAUAGGUGGGAGGCUAGGAGAUGGUAACGCCAGUUGCCAUGGAGCCGCUGUUGGGAUACCACCCUUGCAGUAUUGGGUUUCUAACCAGCCGCCGUGACCCGGCGGUGGGACAAUGCCAGACGGGGAGUCUGACUGGGGCGGUCGCCUCCGAAAGGGUAUCGGAGGCGCCCAAAGGUUCCCUCAGAAUGGACGGAAACCAUUCGAAGAGUGCAAAGGCAGAAGGGAGCUUGACUGCGACACCGACGGGUGGAGCAGGUACGAAAGUAGGGCUUAGUGAUCCGGUGGUAUUAAGUGGAAAUGCCAUCGCUCAACGGAUAAAAGUUACCCUGGGAUAACAGGCUUAUCACUCCCAAGAGUUCACAUCGACGGAGUGGUUUGGCACCUCGAUGUCGGCUCAUCGCAUCCUGGGGCUGUAGUAGGUCCCAAGGGUUGGGCUGUUCGCCCAUUAAAGCGGUACGCGAGCUGGGUUCAGAACGUCGUGAGACAGUUCGGUCCCUAUCCGGCGUGGGCGUAGGAUAUCUGAGAGGAGCUGUCCUUAGUACGAGAGGACCGGGAUGGACGGGCCGCUGGUGCAUCGGUUAGACUGCCAAGUCUACGGCCGAGUAGCCAAGCCCGGAAGGGAUAAACGCUGAAGGCAUCUAAGCGUGAAGCCCCCCUUAAGAUGAGAUAUCCCAUUCGAAAGAAGUAAACCCCCCUGAAGACGACGAGGUAGAUAGGGCAGAGGUGGAAGUGCAGCAAUGCAUGGAGCUGACUGUUACUAAUCGGGUGAGGGCUUGAUC